ACUCCUGAGUCAUCGCACGGACCGCGUCAGGGGUGAAGUCUCCCCAGCCAUGACCUCCACCGGUCAGGAUUCCACCACACCCAAGGAGCGAAGGAAUAGGCACAAUCCCCACUCCCCCACCCACGACUCCAGCAUCACCUCGAAGCGAGGUGUUAAAAAGGGUGCCAUACUCCGCUCCAGCCCCAGUCUAGCGGAGGUAAAGAAGAAAGGCAGAAUGAAGAAGCUUAGCCAAACAGCCGAGCAAGACCUAAUCAUGGGGCUACAAGGGCUGAAUCUGAACCUGGAGGCCAGGACACUGUCUGGCACUGGCUUGGUGUUCGAUGAACAGCUAAAUGAAUUCCACUGCCUCUGGGAUGACAGCUUCCCGGAACGCCCAGCACGGCUCCAUGCCAUCAAGGAGCAACUGAUCCAGGAGGGCCUCCUGGACCGCUGCGUGUCCUUUCAGGCCCGAUUCGCCAAAAAGGAGGAGCUGAUGUUGGUUCACAGCCUAGAAUAUAUUGAUCUGAUGGAAACGACCCAGUACAUGAACGAGGAGGAGCUCCACGUCCUAGCAGAUACCUAUGAUUCAGUUUAUCUGCAUCCGAACUCAUACACCUGUGCCUGCCUGGCCUCAGGCUCUGUCCUCAGGCUGGUGGAUGCAGUCCUGGAGGCUGAGAUCCGGAAUGGCAUGGCCAUCAUCAGGCCUCCUGGACACCACGCCCAGCACAGUCUCAUGGAUGGAUAUUGCAUGUUCAACCACGUGGCCGUGGCUGCCCGUUACGCUCAACAGAAGCAUGAUAUUCAGAGGGUCCUUAUCGUGGAUUGGGAUGUGCACCAUGGUCAGGGAAUACAGUUCGCCUUUGACCAAGAUCCUAGUGUCCUCUAUUUCUCCAUCCACCGCUAUGAGCAGGGUCGGUUCUGGCCCCAUCUUAAGGCCUCUAAUUGGUCCACCACGGGUUUAGGCCAAGGCCAGGGAUACACCAUCAACGUGCCUUGGAACCAGGUGGGGAUGCAAGAUGCUGACUACAUCGCCGCUUUCCUUCACGUCCUCCUGCCAGUUGCAUUUGAGUUCCAGCCCCAGCUGGUCCUGGUAGCCGCUGGAUUUGAUGCCCUCCAAGGGGACCCCAAGGGUGAGAUGGCCGCCACUCCAGCAGGGUUCGCCCAGCUCACCCAUCUGCUCAUGGGUCUGGCAGAAGGCAAGCUGAUCCUCUCACUGGAGGGUGGCUAUAAUCUCCGCUCUCUGGCUGAAGGUGUCAGCGCCUCCCUCCACACCCUUCUGGGUGACCCUUGUCCUGUGUUAGAGUCUCCUGGUGCUCCCUGCCCAAGUGCCCAGGCAUCACUCUCCUGUACUCUGGAAGCCCUGGAACCCUUCUGGGAGAGCCUUGUGAGAUCAGUUGAGAGCCUGGAAGAAAAGGACACUGUGGAGAAGGAUGAUGUGGAAGAGGAGGAAGAGAGACUGCCACAGUCCCCUGAGCUCUCCGUUCCGAUAUGGCCGGUGCUGCAGGCUCGCACGGGGUUGGUCUAUGACCAGCAGAUGAUGGACCACCACAACUUGUGGGAUAACUACCACCCUGAGAUGCCCCAGCGGAUCCACUUUAUCAUGCAUCACCUGGAUGAACUGGGCCUUGCCAAGCGCUGCCACUCCCUGCCCGCAAGGCCCGCUACAGAUGCUGAGCUGCUCACCUGCCACAGUGCUGAGCACUUGGAACGUCUACGGGCCACGGAGAAGAUGAAGACCCGGGAGCUGCGCCGGGAGGGUGCCAACUAUGACUCCAUCUACAUCUGCUCCAGCACUUUUGCCUGCGCACAGCUGGCUGCAGGGGCCGCCUGUCGCCUGGUGGAGGCAGUACUGGCAGGAGAGGUUUUGAAUGGCGUUGCUGUAGUGCGACCUCCUGGCCACCAUGCAGAGCCGGAUGCAGCUUGUGGUUUCUGUUUUUUUAAUUCUGUGGCUGUGGCUGCUCGCCAUGCCCAGGCCAUCAGUGGGCAUGCGCUGCGGAUCCUGAUCGUGGACUGGGACAUCCAUCAUGGUAAUGGAACUCAGCACAUAUUUGAGGAGGACCCCAGUGUGCUGUACAUUUCCCUGCACCGCUAUGAUCAUGGUACCUUCUUUCCCAUGGGGAACGAGGGUGCCUGUACCCGGAUAGGUAAAGCUACAGGCACAGGAUUCACUGUCAAUGUGGCCUGGAAUGGACCCCACAUGGGUGAUGCUGACUACCUGGCUGCCUGGCACCGUCUGGUGCUUCCUAUUGCUUACGAGUUUAACCCAGAACUGGUGCUGGUCUCAGCUGGCUUCGACGCUGCUCGGGGGGAUCCUCUGGGAGGCUGCCAGGUGUCGCCUGAGGGCUAUGCCCACCUCACCCACCAGCUGAUGGGCUUGGCCAAUGGCCAUAUCAUCCUAAUCCUAGAGGGUGGUUAUAACCUGACAUCCAUCUCAGAGUCCAUGGCUGCCUGCACUCGCUCCCUCCUUGGGGAUCCACUGCCCCUGCUCACCCGGCUGCGGCCCCCACUAUCUGGAGCCCAGGCUUCCAUCACUAAAACCAUCCAAGUCCAUCGAAGAUACUGGCGCAGUUUGCGGGUCAUGAAGCGCAAAAACAAAGAGGAACUCUCCAGUUCUAAGUUGAUCACCAAGAAGCCAUCCCAACCAGCCAGUUCUGGGUUAGCCAAUGUGACGACCACAGUGGAAGGGAACAUCCUGGAGGCAGGCAUGGGACAGGCCGCCUCAGAAGCAUCUGUGAAAGAGUCCACUCCAGAUCAGACUGAGUCAGCGAGAGCUCCAGUAGAACUUACUCAGAGCCAGUCCUCAGACACAGCCACACAAGGAGCUGCACUGGACCAGACCAUCUCAGAGGGGGCCACAGGGGGAGCUGAACUGAUCCAAAACCCUCCAGCCUCAUGCAUCAACAACAGGAUUCCUCCUGCCUUACCCGUGCAAGGAGCCACAGCCCAGACAUCCCCUAGUAAGCUGAUGACAAACCUCAGAAUACUGGACCUAGAUAGCACGACUCAGGAGCCCUCAGAAGAGGAAGGACUACUAGGAGAGGCAGCUGGAGGUCAGGACACAAAUGAGUCAGUGCCAGUGCAGGUCUUUGGAGAUCAUGCUGACACUGACGAGGUCAUGUUUUAUGCGGUGAGACCACUGCUUUGGUGUCCUCAUUUGGCGGCAGUAUGCCCCAUACCUGAGACAGGACUAAAUGUGACCCAACCUUGUCAGGACUGUGGAACACUCCAGGAGAACUGGGUGUGUCUGUCUUGCUAUCAGAUCUACUGCGGUCGUUACAUCAAUGCUCAUAUGCUCCAGCACCAUGAAGGUUCAGGACACCCACUAGUACUCAGCUAUGCCGACCUGUCUGCCUGGUGUUACCACUGUCAAGCCUAUGUCCACCACAAGGAUCUCCUAGCAGUGAAGAACAUCGCCCACCAGAACAAGUUUGGGGAAGACAUACCCCAUUCAGACUAAAUCCCAGGAUGUGCUCCUUUACCUUCAGAGUCCCAAGAUAGACCAGCCUUAGUUCAUCCCAUCCUGAAGACCCUUUCCAACUCCCCCAGGGUGCUGAUUUAAGUGACCGGAUGCAACUCUCUCCCAUGCUACCAAAACGCCUGCUUGAGGCAGCGCAAGCUCCCAGGCCUCAGAGAGGCCCUCACAAAACAUUUUGCAAAGACGGGACACUGAGGUCAAAAAUGUGACAACCGCCCCAUACACUAAACACACAAAAUCACGUCCCAGGUGGGGGCAAGGUAAAGAGGUACAGCAGGAUGCACGAGGUACACAGGGUAGUCAGCGCUUACAGCACACCUCAAGAAUACCUCAGGGCGCACUCACCUAGGAGCGCUGACAAGGGUGCGCCAGCAGAGGGGCCUGAGGGCAGCCUGAUGCGCAUGUGUACUCCCAUCUUCCCCUUCCCCAUCCCGUCACUGGGACCUGAGGGAGCAUCUCUGUCAGAGCGGCGGUUGGGGUCGCCACCGGCCUUCCUGGAACUGAGGUGAGCUGGGGCACCAGACCUCCCCCUGCGCCCCGCCCCCACACCGAUCUGGGCGGUCCUUCUACUUAAGGCUGUGGGGGUGUGGCCGAGGUCAGGUGUGAGGGCAGUUUCCCCUGUUUGCCUCCUCUCCUCAGAGACCAGCAACCUCCAGCCGCCUUUGUGAGGACGUCCCCUACGGCCUGCAUUGCUGCCCUGGCUCCUGGCUGGCCCCCUCUCCUCGGCCCAACCUCAUGAUCUGAUCUCUCCGUUUCUGCCCCCAAUCGGGGUGGGGGGACCACCAGAGCUCCGUCUUCUAUCAGGUCCCCCUUCCUGGCGGGAGAGCACAUUCCACAGCUCUUUUCAGGGAUCCUCUCAGGGCUGAGGCCCCACAGCUGGAUCUCCACCUGGGACCUUCCCCCCUGCCCCAACUCUGACGCUGGGAUCCCAAACGCCACAGAAUUCCUCCAUCCCGCCUAGCUGCCACUGCCCUGGGGCUUCCGGAGAGACUUGGGGCCUCAACCAUUAUGAUGCAUAUCCUGAGGCCACACACCAAACCAAGAUCGGGGAUGUGUAUUGAAAGGGUUAAUGGUGACAUUCUAUUAAUAGUGGACGCUAAUUGAGCA
Molecule: RNA transcript, 4561 nt
Organism: Bubalus bubalis (water buffalo)
Lineage: Eukaryota; Metazoa; Chordata; Mammalia; Artiodactyla; Bovidae
Gene: HDAC6
Gene name: histone deacetylase 6
Exons: 31
Source: RefSeq, a predicted model, not a curated record